Molecule: ribosomal RNA, 477 nt
Filed under: uncultured bacterium
Lineage: Bacteria
Description: partial 16S ribosomal RNA
Rfam family: Bacterial small subunit ribosomal RNA
Source: RNAcentral
GAUUAACGCUGGCGGCGUGCAUAACACAUGCAAGUCGAACGAUGAAACUUAAAUGAUUUCUUCGGAAUGAACUUAAGUGGAUUAGUGGCGGACGGGUGAGUAACGCGUGAGUAACCUGCCUUACACAAGGGGAUAGCCGUUGGAAACGACGAAUAAUACCCUAUGAAACUAUCACUUCGCAUGAAGCGAUAGUCAAAGUGUUAGCGGUGUAAGAUGGACUUGCGUCUGAUUAGCUAGUUGGUGAGAAAAAAGCCCACCAAGGCAACGAUCAGUAGCCGGCUUGAGAGAGUGUACGGCCACAUUGGGACUGAGACACGGCCCAGACUCCUACGGGAGGCAGCAGUGGGGAAUUUGGCACAAUGGGGGAAACCCUGAUGCAGCGACGCCGCGUGAUUGAGAAGGCCUUCGGGUUGUAAAAAUCUUUUGUAUAGGAAGAAAAUGACAGUACUAUACGAAUAAGGUCCGGCUAAUUACGUG